CCCUUAGAGUUUGAUCCUGGCUCAGAGCGAACGCUGGCGGAAUGCUUAACACAUGCAAGUCGCACGGUCAGCAAUGGCAGUGGCGGACGGGUGAGUAACGCGUAGGAAUAUGUCCAGAGGUGGGGGACAACCCCGGGAAACUGGGGCUAAUACCGCAUAUGAGCUGAGGCUCAAAGCAGUGAUGCGCCUUUGGAGUAGCCUGCGUCCGAUUAGCUUGUUGGUGGGGUAAUGGCCUACCAAGGCGACGAUCGGUAGCUGGUCUGAGAGGACGACCAGCCACACUGGGACUGAGACACGGCCCAGACUCCUACGGGAGGCAGCAGUGGGGAAUAUUGGACAAUGGGCGCAAGCCUGAUCCAGCAAUUCCGCGUGGGUGAAGAAGGUCUUCGGAUUGUAAAGCCCUUUCGACGGGGACGAUGAUGACGGUACCCGUAGAAGAAGCCCCGGCUAACUUCGUGCCAGCAGCCGCGGUAAUACGAAGGGGGCUAGCGUUGCUCGGAAUUACUGGGCGUAAAGGGCGCGUAGGCGGCUUAGUUAGUCAGGCGUGAAAUUCCUGGGCUCAAUCUGGGGACUGCGCUUGAUACGGCUAGGCUAGAGGAUGGAAGAGGGUCGCGGAAUUCCCAGUGUAGAGGUGAAAUUCGUAGAUAUUGGGAAGAACACCGGUGGCGAAGGCAGGUCUCUGGGCUGUAACUGACGCUGAGGAGCGAAAGCAUGGGGAGCGAACAGGAUUAGAUACCCUGGUAGUCCAUGCCGUAAACGUUGGGCACUAGGUGUGGGGGACAUUCCACGCUUUCCGCGCCGUAGCUAACGCAUUAAGUGCCCCGCCUGGGGAGUACGGCCGCAAGGCUAAAACUCAAAGGAAUUGACGGGGGCCCGCACAAGCGGCGGAUCAUGCGGAUUAAUUCGAUGCAACGCGAAGAACCUUACCAAGGCUUGACAUGAACCGGAAAGGCCUGGAAACAGGUCCCCCACUUGUGGCCGGUUUACAGGUGGUGCAUGGUUCUCGUCAGCUCGUGUCGUGAGAUGUUGGGUUAAGUCCCGCAACGAGCGCAACCCUCGUUCUAUGUUGCCAGCGGGUUAUGCCGGGGACUCAUAGGAGUCUGCCGGGGUCAACUCGGAGGAAGGUGGGGACGACGUCAAAUCAUCAUGCCCCUUAUGUCUUGGGCUUCACGCAUGCUACAAUGGCCGGUACAAAGGGUUGCGAUACUGUGAGGUGGAGCUAAUCCCAAAAAGCCGGUCUCAGUUCGGAUUGAGGUCUGCAACUCGACCUCAUGAAGUUGGAGUCGCUAGUAAUCGCAGAUCAGCAACGCUGCGGUGAAUACGUUCCCGGGCCUUGCACUCACCGCCCGUCA
Molecule: ribosomal RNA, 1352 nt
Filed under: uncultured bacterium
Lineage: Bacteria
Description: partial 16S ribosomal RNA
Rfam family: Bacterial small subunit ribosomal RNA
Source: RNAcentral